RNAcentral lists this ribosomal RNA (254 nucleotides) under uncultured bacterium. Its description in RNAcentral is "partial 16S ribosomal RNA". It matches the Rfam family "Bacterial small subunit ribosomal RNA", at positions 524 to 776 of the family's 1533-position model. The record is from RNAcentral.
UACGUAGGGGGCAAGCGUUGUCCGGAUUUAUUGGGCGUAAAGAGCUCGUAGGUGGUUUGGUUAGUCGGAUGUGAAAUCUCCAGGCUCAACCUGGAGGGGUCAUUCGAUACUGCCAUGACUAGAGGUCGGUAGGGGAGUGUGGAAUUCCUGGUGGAGCGGUGAAAUGCGCAGAUAUCAGGAGGAACACCGAUGGCGAAGGCAGCUUACUGGGCCGAUACUGACGCUGAGGAGCGAAAGCGUGGGGAGCGAACAGG